UAUAUUAUAUAUAUACAUACAUGAAGUGUCAUCAUCAUCAGUGGGAUAUAUUAGUGAUUGAUUAGGAUAUUUUCUGAUUAAACAUCAGUGAUUGAUUAAGAAUUUACGAAUUUGCGCAGAAAGAAGCUUCGGACAUUCCUGCUAUAGAAAAUCUCAAGGACUUCACACCGCCGCGAAAAAAGAAAAAAGCAUCGGUUGUGGUCUAUGCAUUGCCGGAA
Molecule: long non-coding RNA, 218 nt
Organism: Harpegnathos saltator (Jerdon's jumping ant)
Lineage: Eukaryota; Metazoa; Arthropoda; Insecta; Hymenoptera; Formicidae
Exons: 2
Source: RefSeq, a predicted model, not a curated record